CCCUGGUUAGCUCAGUUGGUAGAGCGCUCCACCUGUAAUGGAGAGGUUCCGGGUUCGAUACCCGGACCAGGCG
Molecule: transfer RNA, 73 nt
Filed under: Ixodes scapularis (black-legged tick)
Lineage: Eukaryota; Metazoa; Arthropoda; Arachnida; Ixodida; Ixodidae
Rfam family: tRNA
About the family: Transfer RNA (tRNA) molecules are approximately 80 nucleotides in length.
Source: Rfam by way of RNAcentral